RNAcentral lists this unclassified non-coding RNA (241 nucleotides) under plant metagenome. RNAcentral describes it as "partial contains small subunit ribosomal RNA, internal transcribed spacer 1, and 5.8S ribosomal RNA". The record is from RNAcentral.
UUUCCGUAGGUGAACCUGCGGAAGGAUCAUUAUUGAAUGGAACACUUCUGGCUUUAUGCUGUUGUGCUGGCCCUUUGGGCAAUGUGCACACGGCUCUGGUCACUUGUUUCUUCUGUUCCACCUGUGCACUGCCCGUAGACACGCUGUGUCUAUGAUAUUUGUUAACACACAACAAUGUUAGUUGGCAUGUUAUAUAUAAUAAUAAAAUAUACAACUUUCAACAACGGAUCUCUUGGCUCUC